Molecule: ribosomal RNA, 320 nt
Filed under: uncultured Streptococcus sp.
Lineage: Bacteria; Bacillati; Bacillota; Bacilli; Lactobacillales; Streptococcaceae
Description: bacterial SSU rRNA
Rfam family: Bacterial small subunit ribosomal RNA
Source: RNAcentral
CAGCUCGUGUCGUGAGAUGUGGUAGUCCCGCACGAGCGCAACCCCUAUUGUUAGUUGCCAUCAUUCAGUUGGGCACUCUAGCGAGACUGCCGGUAAUAAACCGGAGGAAGGUGGGGAUGACGUCAAAUCAUCAUGCCCCUUAUGACCUGGGCUACACACGUGCUACAAUGGUUGGUACAACGAGUUGCGAGUCGGUGACGGCGAGCUAAUCUCUUAAAGCCAAUCUCAGUUCGGAUUGUAGGCUGCAACUCGCCUACAUGAAGUCGGAAUCGCUAGUAAUCGCGGAUCAGCACGCCGCGGUGAAUACGUUCCCGGGCCUU